Molecule: ribosomal RNA, 1447 nt
Filed under: uncultured organism
Description: 16S ribosomal RNA
Rfam family: Bacterial small subunit ribosomal RNA
Source: RNAcentral
CAGGCUUAACACAUGCAAGUCGAGGGGCAUCAGGAAGAAAGCUUGCUUUCUUUGAUGGCGACCGGCGCACGGGUGAGUAACACGUAUCCAACCUGCCGUCUACUCUUGGACAGCCUUCUGAAAGGAAGAUUAAUACAAGAUGGCAUCAUGAGUCCGCAUGUUCACAUGAUUAAAGGUAUUCCGGUAGACGAUGGGGAUGCGUUCCAUUAGAUAGUAGGCGGGGUAACGGCCCACCUAGUCUUCGAUGGAUAGGGGUUCUGAGAGGAAGGUCCCCCACAUUGGAACUGAGACACGGUCCAAACUCCUACGGGAGGCAGCAGUGAGGAAUAUUGGUCAAUGGGCGAGAGCCUGAACCAGCCAAGUAGCGUGAAGGAUGACUGCCCUAUGGGUUGUAAACUUCUUUUAUAAAGGAAUAAAGUCGGGUAUGCAUACCCGUUUGCAUGUACUUUAUGAAUAAGGAUCGGCUAACUCCGUGCCAGCAGCCGCGGUAAUACGGAGGAUCCGAGCGUUAUCCGGAUUUAUUGGGUUUAAAGGGAGCGUAGAUGGAUGUUUAAGUCAGUUGUGAAAGUUUGCGGCUCAACCGUAAAAUUGCAGUUGAUACCGGAUAUCUUGAGUGCAGUUGAGGCAGGCGGAAUUCGUGGUGUAGCGGUGAAAUGCUUAGAUAUCACGAAGAACUCCGAUUGCGAAGGCAGCCUGCUAAGCUGCAACUGACAUUGAGGCUCGAAAGUGUGGGUAUCAAACAGGAUUAGAUACCCUGGUAGUCCACACGGUAAACGAUGAAUACUCGCUGUUUGCGAUAUACGGCAAGCGGCCAAGCGAAAGCGUUAAGUAUUCCACCUGGGGAGUACGCCGGCAACGGUGAAACUCAAAGGAAUUGACGGGGGCCCGCACAAGCGGAGGAACAUGUGGUUUAAUUCGAUGAUACGCGAGGAACCUUACCCGGGCUUAAAUUGCAGAUGAAUUACGGUGAAAGCCGUAAGCCGCAAGGCAUCUGUGAAGGUGCUGCAUGGUUGUCGUCAGCUCGUGCCGUGAGGUGUCGGCUUAAGUGCCAUAACGAGCGCAACCCUUGUUGUCAGUUACUAACAGGUUCCGCUGAGGACUCUGACAAGACUGCCAUCGUAAGAUGUGAGGAAGGUGGGGAUGACGUCAAAUCAGCACGGCCCUUACGUCCGGGGCUACACACGUGUUACAAUGGGGGGUACAGAGGGCCGCUACCACGCGAGUGGAUGCCAAUCCCAAAAACCUCUCUCAGUUCGGACUGGAGUCUGCAACCCGACUCCACGAAGCUGGAUUCGCUAGUAAUCGCGCAUCAGCCACGGCGCGGUGAAUACGUUCCCGGGCCUUGUACACACCGCCCGUCAAGCCAUGGGAGCCGGGGGUACCUGAAGUGCGUAACCGCGAGGAGCGCCCUAGGGUAAAACUGGUGACUGAGGCUAAGUCAUAACAA